UACGUAGGGGGCAAGCGUUGUCCGGAUUUAUUGGGCGUAAAGAGCGUGUAGGCGGUUAGGUAGGUCCGUUGUGAAAACUCGAGGCUCAACCUCGAGACGCCGAUGGAAACCAUCUGACUAGAGUCCGGAAGAGGAGAGUGGAAUUCCUGGUGUAGCGGUGAAAUGCGCAGAUAUCGGAAGGAACAUCAGUGGCGAAAGCGGCUUCCUGGUCCAGCACCGACGUUCAGGCACGAAAGCGUGGGGAGCAAACAGG
This 253-nucleotide ribosomal RNA is filed under the name uncultured bacterium. RNAcentral describes it as "partial 16S ribosomal RNA". It matches the Rfam family "Bacterial small subunit ribosomal RNA", at positions 524 to 776 of the family's 1533-position model. The record is from RNAcentral.